Molecule: long non-coding RNA, 1833 nt
Organism: Mercenaria mercenaria
Lineage: Eukaryota; Metazoa; Mollusca; Bivalvia; Venerida; Veneridae
Exons: 3
Source: RefSeq, a predicted model, not a curated record
GAUACAUGUAGUUGCAACCUGUCUUUGGAAUCUGUUGAAAUAACAAAAAAGAGGCUACAAUGACAUAAUGGUAUAUUUUGUUAUAUAUGAAGUUUAUGAUGGCAUACAUGAUAUCAUUAAUGUGUACAAAACCUUGAUUUUCUGACAGUUUUAUAAUCAGGUUCAUAAUAAUGUUUUUAAUAUAUACAAUAGUUGCAGGGUUUUUUUUCCAAUAUUAAUUUUAGCUUUAUGAAUUAAAACACUUCAGCUUCAUGUUUAUUAAUGGUAAUAGUUUUAAACAUAAAAUGAGUUAAGAUAUUUUUUAUUGAUUUUAUUAUAUUUAGAUUAAUACAUGUAAAAAGUCUAUAUUAAAUGUAUGUGUCAUCUUUUGUACUAAAAUAAAGGAAAAAAGAUAUUUUUUGGAAUAAUUUUGAUUUUCAGUUUUGGUAGAGAGUAGUUUGAGUAUGUACAGUUGUUUGACCUGUCUUACCCUGUGGCAGUCCCAGAAGAUGUUACCAUUAUGAUUAAGUGCAGGGGAACUUGAAGAUAAUGGUUAGUGCAGAAUGGACAUAAAAGUAAUGAUAAAAGCAACAGAUAUAAAUAAGGAGUGCUACAAGUAUGUUGUCAUGUGAAGUGGAUUUUACCCCAACUGUGCUGCAGUCAUGCACCAGCUGUAAACUGAGAUGGACCCACACAAGAAAUAUGUUGCCUUUUUAUGUAUUAUCAUCUGUACAGAAUGUGUUUAUGACAAGACUGUAUACAUAUAUUGUUGAAUCAUGUUUUAUUUCCAUUAUGGCAUGCAUGUUAGAAGCAAGUAUUAAUUUAACAAUAAUUAUUGCAUUCAUAGAAAUGUUAAAAUGUGAUCAAUCUAAUUUAAAGAAUAACCUUUAAUUGAGCAUUUGAAGUUUCAUAUUAUUUGUGGUGGGUAUUGAACCAGUCAUUCAGCAAUACAACUUAUACUGUCUUUGAGUCAUGUCUUGUAUGUUAUAGUUUUCUUAACAAUGCAUAAAAUAUCAAAAUUAUGGUUAAAGAACUCAUUCAUCACUUGUAGAUUAAUGUUAAAGCAGUUCAACAUUUUACCAUAUCUUAAUUAAUAUUCUGUUCAACCAGAUUUGUCGCAUAUUUUCAUAUAAACAUUUGUAAAAUACAGUCUAAUCUACUCUAGAAAUGAUGUUCCACAAAUUUUUAGUUAUAUUUUAUAUUGUUUUGAUGUCUCAACAUAUAAUAACUAACAUAAACAAAACUUAAGUAUUUUACAAUUUGGUUUGUAUAAAUGGUUGUUUUGUUUAUUUAUUUCCAUCCAAGGGAAUAAAGAAAUAUACAUUUUAAAAUAUCUCAUCAUUCCAGAUUAGUACACUACAUAAUCAAGAGAGAAAAAAAAGAAAAAUUAUGUUGGUGGCAUUUAAUAAAAAUUGAUAUACAGUCUUUGUAGUAUUUACUUCUUUAGAUAUGUUGGACGGAAAUGGGAAAAACAACAUACUUUAAAUUUGGGUAGUCAUAAGUUAAUAUGGGAAUUAUUAACUCGAGAAAUAGAUUUUAUCUCACUGUUAUGCCAUCUGAGCUGUAAUAUUUUUCAACAUUGUCAUUGGCAACAAGGCUCAACCAACAUUAUUUUUGUAUAUAUCUUUCAUUCAUGUGUGAUAAAUGUCUUUAUGGUAUUCUUUAAUAUAAUAUAUGCUUUUCAUCUUACCAUGGAUUAAAAAGAUAUAUAUUUAUUUGUCUGAAAAUUAAGGUAAAAUACUGACUGAUUAAAUUGCAAUAUAAGAAAGCUAAUAUGAGAUAAAGGGAGGUAAUUCCUUAAAAAAUAUGUAGAUAAAUAUAAUGAAGGGAAGUAAUAAAAUAUUGUGAAGUUAA